RNAcentral lists this unclassified non-coding RNA (962 nucleotides) under Zea mays. Its description in RNAcentral is "misc RNA Zm00001eb067300". The record is from RNAcentral. Lineage: Eukaryota; Viridiplantae; Streptophyta; Magnoliopsida; Poales; Poaceae.
CCACAGAGUCAGCAGCCAGGGACCGGAAUUUGUCCCGCACAUACCGCGAGAGGCAGUUCCCAAGGCCGAAAGGCGUGGACAGCACCCACGACAUGAACUCCUGGACCUUCACCCCCUUCCCACCGCUGGAGACGUCCCAGCCCCAAACGCCUGCAUCAUCCGUGACGACGCCCGCCGAGACGAGCGCCGACAGCACCAGGUGCGUCACGUCCGGGAGGAGCACCGUGACGGGCUCCGAUUUAUCUCCUCCGUCACUGACCACCCUCGAGGCCGAAGCGCUCCACGCCAUGACCCAGCACACCCAGAGGAACACUGCGAUCUCCUCCGGCGCGAGCUCCCCCACGACCUUCCCAUCCUCGUCACCACCGCCCUCGUCCGGCUGGAGCUGGACGCCGCAGGGUGCCCCCGCGCCGGCGCAGGCGGCAGCGUACACGCGGAGGAGCAGUGCGAGCGAGCGGGAGGCCGUCACGCGCGCGCAGCAGCGGUUGAACCCCCUGAGGAACUGGACCCACCCGGCGCCCCCGUCCGUCACCGCGGCAGCUCCGUGGCCGAAGAAUUGGGAGGCGAUGGCGGGGCCGAGCCCCCCGAGGAUGCCGUGGAAGUGCGGCGGCGGCGGCGCCGGGGAUCCGGGCAGACGAAAGGAGGCGGGCGGCGGCGCGAGGGCAUCCGGCAGCGCGUUGGCGGCGGAGCGGGAGAAGGCGGCGCGGAGGAGCGGGAGGGAGAGGGCGGCGGAGGCGAGAGUCUCCUGCUCCCGCUGCUCGUGCGCCUCUGGGGACGGGUUGCCAGUCGAGGAGGACGCGCCCAUGGCCGGCGAGGUGUCGGUGCCGCGGCGAAACGGCGAUGCUGGAUGGGGAUUGCUGAGGCGCGCGGGUGGGGAGAAUGGUGGCGUGGAAAGGCGGAAAGCUUGGAGACCACCUAGACCUAGCCGACCCUUGGGAAGUCCGAUGGGGCGGAGAUCGGAG